CCCUUAGAUGUUCGGGGCCGCACGCGCGCUACACUGAGGGAAUCAGCACGUCUUUCUCCUUGUCCGAAAGGACUGGGUAACCCGCUGAACCUCCUUCGUGCUAGGGAUUGGGGCUUGUAAUUCUUCCCCAUGAACGAGGAAUUCCCAGUAAGCGCGAGUCAUAAGCUCGCGUUGAUUACGUCCCUGCCCUUUGUACACACCGCCCGUCGCUACUACCGAUUGGAUGGUUUAGUGAGAUCCUCGGAUUGGUCCCGGCGCGGCCUCUGGUCGUGCCGGAGUGCCGAAAAGAAUGUCGAACUUGAUCAUCUAGAGGAAGUAAAAGUCGUAACA
Molecule: ribosomal RNA, 330 nt
Filed under: uncultured eukaryote
Lineage: Eukaryota
Description: partial 18S ribosomal RNA
Rfam family: Eukaryotic small subunit ribosomal RNA
Source: RNAcentral